UACGGGGGGGGCAAGCGUUGUUCGGAAUUACUGGGCGUAAAGGGCUCGUAGGCGGCCAACUAAGUCGGACGUGAAAUCCCCAGGCUCAACCUGGGAACUGCGUCCGAUACUGGAUGGCUUGAAUCCGGGAGAGGGAUGUGGAAUUCCAGGUGUAGCGGUGAAAUGCGUAGAUAUCGGGAGGAACACCAGUGGCGAAGGCGACUUCCUGGCCUGUUCUUGACGCUGAGGCGCGAAAGCUAGGGGAGCAAACGGG
This 253-nucleotide ribosomal RNA is filed under the name uncultured bacterium. RNAcentral describes it as "partial 16S ribosomal RNA". It matches the Rfam family "Bacterial small subunit ribosomal RNA", at positions 524 to 776 of the family's 1533-position model. The record is from RNAcentral.